AUUGAAUGCUGGCGGCAGGCCUAACACAUGCAAGUCGAACGGUAACAGGAAGCAGCUUGCUGCUUCGCUGACGAGUGGCGGACGGGUGAGUAAUGUCUGGGAAGCUGCCUGAUGGAGGGGGAUAACUACUGGAAACGGUAGCUAAUACCGCAUAAUGUCGCAGGACCAAAGAGGGGGACCUUCGGGCCUCUUGCCAUCGGAUGUGCCCAGAUGGGAUUAGCUUGUUGGUGGGGUAACGGCUCACCAAGGCGACGAUCCCUAGCUGGUCUGAGAGGAUGACCAGCCACACUGGAACUGAGACACGGUCCAGACUCCUACGGGAGGCAGCAGUGGGGAAUAUUGCACAAAGGGCGCAAGCCUGAUGCAGCCAUGCCGCGUGUAUGAAGAAGGCCUUCGGGUUGUAAAGUACUUUCAGCGGGGAGGAAGGGAGUAAAGUUAAUACCUUUGCUCAUUGACGUUACCCGCAGAAGAAGCACCGGCUAACUCCGUG
RNAcentral lists this ribosomal RNA (490 nucleotides) under uncultured bacterium. RNAcentral describes it as "partial 16S ribosomal RNA". It matches the Rfam family "Bacterial small subunit ribosomal RNA", at positions 30 to 507 of the family's 1533-position model. The record is from RNAcentral.